RNAcentral lists this long non-coding RNA (248 nucleotides) under Gossypium barbadense (sea-island cotton). RNAcentral's name for it is "long non-coding RNA (GBAR_LNC009948)". Lineage: Eukaryota; Viridiplantae; Streptophyta; Magnoliopsida; Malvales; Malvaceae. The record is from RNAcentral.
UAAUUAAUGCUCUAGGCAAAAUUACCAUUUUGCCCCUAAACUUUUAAUUAAUGACGAUUUCAUCCUUAGGGUCAAGAAAAUAAAAUUUUUGCAAUUUAAUCCUUAUUUCCAGCUAUUAUUCUCAUAUAUAUAUAUUGAUAACAAUCCAUGAAUUCUAUAAAAUAUCAGAAUUUUUCAUAAUUUCAACACUUUUCAAUUUAAUCCCUAAAACAUGUUUUCCCCCGAUCUUGAACUAAAUUAAUAAUUUC